AAACUUUUACUUUGGUUCAGUUAUAGGGAGCAAUUUAUAUUGCUCGUCCUCGAGGUGUUUUGCGAGAUAGAAGCUGAUCAGGAAUCUAACUCGCGGGCCAGCGGUGGCCUAAGGACGUGGUUUAUAGGUGUUGUUUUUGAUGUGGUCGAUGAGAUUUUGGGUCGUUUGAGACCGUGUGGUAAAACUCGCUAAGAGUUUGAGCUUGUGCAAGAAGAGUAUAUAAAUCUUUUUUAUGGUUGUAUAAGUUUAUUUAUGAAGUUGUGAUGCGAAAUAACGAAUCAAUAUGAAUUUGAUAACUUAAAAUAUUGCAGUAGUAAUGCAAGAACCUAUAUUAUCUGAUGCAAUACUGAUAUGCGUAAAUAGAUUAUAAAGAAUUGUUUACCGACAUGGACGUGUUCCGGUCUUGGUGACUGCAAGCUAGCGAAGAAGAAAUGGUGUUGGAUGUUUGAUAAUAUGUUCUUCGUGUAUUGUCUCUUGUGGUUUUGCAUUUGUUUGGGAACAUCGUUAGACAACAUGCGAUCUUACAAUAUUUCUGCAUGGCUUGUCAAGAUUUAUCGUUUUUAUUCACAUGAAAUGAUUUGCGGUCCAAACCUUUCGUGAUGUUAUGGGUUUUAUGUUGUUCGUGAUCUUUCCAUGUUUUGAUCGUUUGAGGUCGGGAUACUUUUGCACUGGAUGACUCUUUUUCAUAAUGAAGUGGAUGGAUUGUCGCUUAAGGAGUAUGGAAAACAAGGUUUAUGCUUUCUUUGCGCCUCUUUGGUAUUUUCCUUUCGUCUGCUCGAUAUCGGGCUCGGUUAGCAAAAUCGUUGGGAACAUCCUAUUCAGCUCGUGUUCCUAGGAGUCUCGUUAUCUGGAGCUCGAAGGCUCGAAGGGUUUUCGCGCGGUGUUUAAUUGGUUAAAUUGAUGGGAGCGCGAGUUAGUAGGAUUCCGUGUUUAAGUUCUCGGUCCAAGCUUCGUCCAGACCCCUUAAAUUCAGGAUGUGGUGGUUUGAUCCAGAUCGAGGUGAGAUGUCUCUUCUGUUGAGGAAUAUACAUCGUGAGGUGGAAAUUUC
This 1048-nucleotide long non-coding RNA is filed under the name Brassica napus (rape). Its description in RNAcentral is "long non-coding RNA (BNAP_LNC019456)". The record is from RNAcentral. Lineage: Eukaryota; Viridiplantae; Streptophyta; Magnoliopsida; Brassicales; Brassicaceae.